Long non-coding RNA from Poecilia latipinna (sailfin molly), 474 nucleotides. RefSeq lists it as uncharacterized. NCBI's taxonomy places the organism in Eukaryota, Metazoa, Chordata, Actinopteri, Cyprinodontiformes, Poeciliidae. The transcript is spliced from 5 exons. The record is from RefSeq and is a predicted model, not a curated record.
AAAAAACCAGUUGUGCCACCAAAAUUGCCUGCAAAAAAGAAGGAUGGGUCUAAAAAACCAGUUGUGCCACCAAAAUUGCCUGCAAAAAAGAAGGACGGGUCCAAAAAACCAGUUGUGCCACCAAAAUUGACUCCAAAAGAGAAGGAUGGGGCUAACAAACCAAAUGUCCCACCAAAAUUGCCUGUAACAAAGAAGGAUGGGUCAAAAACACCCAUUGUCCCACCAAAAUUGGAAAGUGGGAAGUUAUCCUUACCUAUCACAGGUUUUACAGUACUUUAGUCACAAUCCAAUGUUUGUAACAAUACACAAGUUACAAGUCAAUCGUUUUCUCAUUAAACAUUUCUUAAUAUUUCAUUGUCUACUGUUGAGAACGGAAAAUCCUAAUCGAUGAAUCAAAAUUUGUCCUGACACAAGGAGCAUAAAAUCAGCCAACAAUAUUAUUCAGACUUUACUUAUUUUAUUCACUUUCAGCGC